AUGAUAAAAAAUGCCCAGAAAAAUAAGCUAAUCACGGGAUUAGCCUCUGAUCUGAUUCAGGAUGGGGUCGCAGUGUUGCAGUAUGCAGAUGAUACUAUCAUCUGUUUAGAGCAUGAUAUUGAAAAAGCAGUUAACCUGAAGUUGCUGCUUUAUACCUUUGAAAUGAUGUCCGGACUCAAGGUGAACUUUCAAAAAAGUGAAAUCCUCACAGUGGGUGGAGAUGACAAUGUGGUUAGGGAAUAUGCUGAAUUAUUUAACUGUGACAUAGGGAGUUUCCCUAUUAAGUACUUGGGGAUGCCUGUGAGCUACACCAAUCUCCGAAAUUCUGACUGGGAAUUUAUUAUAGCCAAAUAUCUUAAAAGAUUUGAAGCUUGGAUCGGCAAUGCUGCAUCCAUGGGUGGCAGACUUACUCUGCUUGACUCGGUGCUUACUCAAUUGUCCAUCUUUCAUAUGUCUAUGUGGCUUAUGAACAAAACUUUCAUUGAAAAGCUGGAUAAGCAUAGACGUAGAUUUUUCUGGCAAGGAUGUAAUAAUAAGCGUAGAUAUCAUAUUGUCAGGUGGAAUAGGAUCUGUAGAUCCAGAGACAAAGGAGGACUGGGGGUUAAAGACCUUAGAAAACAAAAUAUUAGUUUAAUGGUCAAAUGGUGGUGGAAGCUGGAGACCCAAAACGGGUUGUGGCAGGAUAUUGUGCGUGCUAGAUACCUUAGAAACAAAACUGUUAGUGAGGUGGGUACGAGGUUUUCUGAUUCACCAUGCUGGAAAGCUCUUCUGAAGGUGAAAGAAGUUUACCUGGUGGGGAGGAAAAUUAACAUUGAAUCUGGUAAUAUUGCCCGGGUGUGGAUGGAUCCCAUCAAAGGGCUGCCCCCCUUUCGGGAGCAAUUCCCACAACUCUUUUCUAUUUGCACUGCUCCUGAAUGCACGAUGAGUGGGGUGCGGCUAGUGGAUACUAACACUUUCUUCAGACGGGGGCUUAGUGCUGAACUGUCU
Molecule: ribosomal RNA, 987 nt
Filed under: Triticum aestivum (bread wheat)
Lineage: Eukaryota; Viridiplantae; Streptophyta; Magnoliopsida; Poales; Poaceae
Description: partial small subunit ribosomal RNA
Source: RNAcentral